CCUACGGGAGGCAGCAGUGGGGAAUUUUGGACAAUGGGCGCAAGCCUGAUCCAGCAAUGCCGCGUGCAGGAUGAAGGCCUUCGGGUUGUAAACUGCUUUUGUACGGAACGAAACGGUGAGCUCUAAUACAGUUUGCUAAUGACGGUACCGUAAGAAUAAGCACCGGCUAACUACGUGCCAGCAGCCGCGGUAAUACGUAGGGUGCGAGCGUUAAUCGGAAUUACUGGGCGUAAAGCGUGCGCAGGCGGUGAUGUAAGACAGAUGUGAAAUGCCCGGGCUCAACCUGGGACCUGCAUUUGUGACUGCAUCGCUAGAGUACGGUAGAGGGGGAUGGAAUUCCGCGUGUAGCAGUGAAAUGCGUAGAUAUGCGGAGGAACACCGAUGGCGAAGGCAAUCCCCUGGACCUGUACUGACGCUCAUGCACGAAAGCGUGGGGAGCAAACAGGAUUAGAUACCCUGGUAGUCCACGCCCUAAACGAUGUCAACUGGUUGUUGGGUCUUCACUGACUCAGUAACGAAGCUAACGCGUGAAGUUGACCGCCCGNGGGAGGUACGGCCGCGAGGUUAGUAACGUACGAAGAGUAGUAGACGNGNGAGAGCGACGGACGACGACGACGGAGGGAGGAG
This 627-nucleotide ribosomal RNA is filed under the name uncultured bacterium. RNAcentral's name for it is "bacterial SSU rRNA". The stretch from base 1 to 542 matches the Rfam family "Bacterial small subunit ribosomal RNA", at positions 338 to 873 of the family's 1533-position model. The record is from RNAcentral.